UACGGAGGGUGCGAGCGUUGUCCGGAAUUACUGGGCGUAAAGCGUGCGCAGGCGGUUCGUUGUGUCGGCGGUGAAAGCCCCGGGCUUAACCUGGGAAUGGCCGUUGAAACUGGCGAACUGGAGUGUGGCAGAGGGGGGUGGAAUUCCGCGUGUAGCAGUGAAAUGCGUAGAGAUGCGGAGGAACACCGAUGGCGAAGGCAGCCCCCUGGGCCAACACUGACGCUCAGGCACGAAAGCGUGGGGAGCAAACAGG
RNAcentral lists this ribosomal RNA (253 nucleotides) under uncultured bacterium. Its description in RNAcentral is "partial 16S ribosomal RNA". It matches the Rfam family "Bacterial small subunit ribosomal RNA", at positions 524 to 776 of the family's 1533-position model. The record is from RNAcentral.